This 818-nucleotide long non-coding RNA is filed under the name Carica papaya (papaya). RNAcentral's name for it is "long non-coding RNA (CPAP_LNC012396)". The record is from RNAcentral. Lineage: Eukaryota; Viridiplantae; Streptophyta; Magnoliopsida; Brassicales; Caricaceae.
UAAAGUUUCUGGUUUCAAUUCUAGUUUACUAGCAAGUGCAUAAGAAAUAAAAGAGUGAGUUGCACCAGUAUCGAUUAAAGCCUUGACAAGAGUAUUAUGAAUAAAAAGCAUACCCUGGAUGAGAACAGGAGCAGGAAGGACUUUAGUUUCAUCUAAAUUGUACAUUUGACCUUGUGCUAUGGGUCGGGCUAUAUCUUUUGGUCACUAAGGGUAAUAUUUUGUAAGGUGCUGGGUGCUUCUACACCAAUAGCAGGCAUGAUUAAUACGCAGACAAGGCAAGUCACCAUGCAGGCGACCACAAUGUUGACAAGAUGGGUUAGUUUAGGCAGAUGGGGUUGUAGGUGGGAGCAAGGCAGGAGGAAGGACAAUUUUGGUUCGUUUGUCUAGGGGGUUACUUACUGGGUCAGGCAAUCUCUUUUUAAGCUGUUGGGGCAGUUGUUGGGCUCGAACUCAAGCAAAGCAUUGGUGCUCAGCUGAGAUAAGAUCUUCGGCCAACUGGGCAUGUUCAAGAACUUUUGCAUACAAGCUGGGUCUUAGCAUCGCGACUUGAUCAUAAAUGUCAGCACGAAGGCCUUUAAGAAACUUUCUAGGCUUUCAACUUUCGAGGUUGACCAUCAAAGGGGCAAACCAAGACAGUUGAAUAAAUCAAGCUGCAUAUUGGGCUACAAACAAGCUUCCUUUGUGGAGGUCCUAGAAUUCCUCCUCUUUCUUUUUCCAAACAUAAGCAGAGAAUAAAUUAUCAAAGAAAGUGUCCAUGAAAACUUCCCAGGUAGUGGGAAUAGGUAGGACUUCUUUCUUAAGUCGCCACCAGUUGUCAG